This 445-nucleotide ribosomal RNA is filed under the name uncultured bacterium. Its description in RNAcentral is "partial 16S ribosomal RNA". It matches the Rfam family "Bacterial small subunit ribosomal RNA", at positions 354 to 796 of the family's 1533-position model. The record is from RNAcentral.
GUGAGGAAUAUUGCGCAAUGGAGGCAACUCUGACGCAGCCAUGCCGCGUGCAGGAAGAAGGCGCUACGCGUUGUAAACUGCUUUUAACCGGGAAGAAACCCCAGGACGUGUCCUGGGUUGACGGUACCGGAGGAAUAAGCACCGGCUAACUUCGUGCCAGCAGCCGCGGUAAUACGAAGGGUGCAAGCGUUAUCCGGACUCAUUGGGUUUAAAGGGUGCGUAGGCGGAGCGUUAAGUCAGUGGUGAAAUCCUGCAGCUUAACUGUAGACUUGCCAUUGAUACUGGCGCUCUUGAGUGCGCUUGAAGUGGGCGGAAUGUGCCGUGUAGCGGUGAAAUGCUUAGAUAUGGCACAGAACACCAAUUGCGAAGGCAGCUCACUAAGGCGAUACUGACGCUGAGGCACGAAAGCGUGGGGAUCGAACAGGAUUAGAUACCCGUGUAGUCC